Molecule: ribosomal RNA, 253 nt
Filed under: uncultured bacterium
Lineage: Bacteria
Description: partial 16S ribosomal RNA
Rfam family: Bacterial small subunit ribosomal RNA
Source: RNAcentral
UACGGAGGGUGCAAGCGUUGUCCGGAUUUAUUGGGUUUAAAGGGUGCGUAGGUGGUUUGAUAAGUCCGGGGUGAAAGCCCACAGCUCAACUGUGGAACUGCCCUGGAUACUGUCAGACUUGAGGGUAGACGAGGUUGGCGGAACAGAAGGUGUAGCGGUGAAAUGCAUAGAUACCUUCUAGAACCCCGAUUGCGUAGGCAGCUGACUAGGCUACACCUGACACUGAGGCACGAAAGCGUGGGGAGCGAACAGG